CAGGGUAUAGCUCAGUGGUAGAGCACAUGCCUAGCAUGCCCAAGGUCCUGGGUUCAAUCCCCAGUACUUUCA
Molecule: transfer RNA, 72 nt
Filed under: Camelus bactrianus (Bactrian camel)
Lineage: Eukaryota; Metazoa; Chordata; Mammalia; Artiodactyla; Camelidae
Also listed under: 2 other names
Rfam family: tRNA
About the family: Transfer RNA (tRNA) molecules are approximately 80 nucleotides in length. Their secondary structure includes four short double-helical elements and three loops (D, anti-codon, and T loops). Further hydrogen bonds mediate the characteristic L-shaped molecular structure. tRNAs have two regions of fundamental functional importance: the anti-codon, which is responsible for specific mRNA codon recognition, and the 3' end, to which the tRNAs corresponding amino acid is attached (by aminoacyl-tRNA synthetases). tRNAs cope with the degeneracy of the genetic code in two manners: having more than one tRNA (with a specific anti-codon) for a particular amino acid; and 'wobble' base-pairing, i.e. permitting non-standard base-pairing at the 3rd anti-codon position.
Source: Rfam by way of RNAcentral